UACGAGGACGACGCUGGCGGCGUGCUUAACACAUGCAAGUCGAACGGAAAGGCCCUGCUUUUGUGGGGUGCUCGAGUGGCGAACGGGUGAGUAACACGUGAGUAACCUGCCCUUGACUUUGGGAUAACUUCAGGAAACUGGGGCUAAUACCGGAUAGGAGCUCCUGCUGCAUGGUGGGGGUUGGAAAGUUUCGGCGGUUGGGGAUGGACUCGCGGCUUAUCAGCUUGUUGGUGGGGUAGUGGCUUACCAAGGCUUUGACGGGUAGCCGGCCUGAGAGGGUGACCGGCCACAUUGGGACUGAGAUACGGCCCAGACUCCUACGGGAGGCAGCAGUGGGGAAUAUUGCACAAUGGGCGGAAGCCUGAUGCAGCAACGCCGCGUGCCGGGAUGACGGCCUUCGGGUUGUAAACCGCUUUCGCCUGUGACGAAGCGUGAGUGACGGUAAUGGGUAAAGAAGCACCGGCUAACUACGUG
RNAcentral lists this ribosomal RNA (474 nucleotides) under uncultured bacterium. Its description in RNAcentral is "bacterial SSU rRNA". It matches the Rfam family "Bacterial small subunit ribosomal RNA", at positions 33 to 507 of the family's 1533-position model. The record is from RNAcentral.